GUCCACGCCCUAAACGUUGAUUACUCGUUGUUGGCGAUAUACAGUCAGCGACCAAGCUAAAGCGUUAAGUAAUCCACCUGGGAAGUACGACCGCAAGGUUGAAACUCAAAGGAAUUGACGGGGCCCGCACAAGCGGAGGAGCAUGUGGUUUAAUUCGAUGAUACGCGAGGAACCUUACCUGGGCUUGAAAGUUAGUGACUUUCUGUGAAAAGCAGAAUUCUCUUCGGAGCACGAAACUAGGUGCUGCAUGGCUGUCGU
Molecule: ribosomal RNA, 258 nt
Filed under: uncultured bacterium
Lineage: Bacteria
Description: partial 16S ribosomal RNA
Rfam family: Bacterial small subunit ribosomal RNA
Source: RNAcentral